AGCAGCACAAUCUGGGAAAUUGGCUGUAGCUUGAACGACCGCUCACUGCCCUUUCUACACCGCGUGUGUUGGCCUGGUCCCUGCUGCUGGGGCACGAGCAGACCUUGUGGCCUGGGGUUUUGUGGUCCUGGGACUGACACUGGCCUGGCAAAGUCUGAACAUGGGGGGCUAGGGGCCCCACUUCAGAGAAGCUCCUGGCCUGUGCUCGAUGACAACUGGUGUAGCAGGGAGGUCUCCAGCGACGCUUCCCGGGACCGUCCUCUUCGGCAUUUUAACAAAGGACGAGCUGGCCGGCUUCCCACGCUUGUGGACAGUGAGGGGCUGGGAGCAGCAGCCGACAGGCUGGAUGGAAAAGUCAGAACCCCAAUGCUUUAAGAGGGGACAGGGAGGCCCACCUAACUGUUCUCUAGCAGCCAGGCCAUGGGGCUCUAGACCCCAGGCCAUUAGCUUCGACCCUGCCCAGUCCCAGAGAGCCACCAUAAACCUUGUUCCACGCCCCAUCAGCUCCAACAGAUGCUGAGAGAAUUGGUUGGAUCUGAGAGUGUAGACCUACCACCCUCUGUCUCUUCACCGGCAAGUGAAGUGAAGUCACUGCUGUGUGCCACUUUUCCUUUAUCUUCUGAGACCAUUCUUGGAACGUCCAUUAGAAUAUGAUUGAUGUCAUUAAGAAGCCAAAUAUAAAAGACUAUGCCAAAAAAGAUCAGCAUCAGAACAAGGAGAAAUCACAUGAUAGGCUCCAUCUUCCCUCGUCGUCAUGUCUGCAGAUUUUCCAUUGUGUAAGGAAGCUAGCCUAGCCCCAGGAGCAGAGCCAGUGAGUGUCUGCAGGUUUUCCAUUGUGUAAGGAAGCUAGCCUAACCAGGGGAUGAAAGGGGUCAGUGUCCACAGGGUUUUCCCUGCUGUAACAACUGAGAGUUUUUCGUUCCUUUGAGCCCCACUUUGAAAACUCUCUGCCUCAUAACUGCAGGGUGCGGGGCCCAGGGCCGGUUCUGCAGAGGCUGCACUCUGGAGCAGUCAGUGAUGGAGCUCAGGCUGGCCCUAAACAAUGAGGACCAGGAUCCUUGGGAUGGCCCUACCUGUGGAAUAAAUGGAUACAAAACCCACUACUGGGAGCCAGGCCUCAUAUCAGGUGUUUGUCAGGUGCGUCUGUUUGAAGAGGAGGAGUGGGAUUCUGGAAGGGGCAGCCCAGCCAAGGAAAUGCCCUGUCUUUGAUGCCAGGAGCAUUGGGAUUUGCAUCUGCUCCUGCAUAGCUGGGGCGUUUCCAGAAUCGAGGGUGGAGAGAAGCAAAAUGGACACCAGCCUGGCGGCCUGACCCUUCAGGGAGCCUGGAACACCGCCCAGAGAAGUUCCAAGGGCUGGACAGGCCAUAGGGAGUGGUGGGCACCGGGCCGUUCUGACCAUGCAAACAGCAACACCUGCGGUCCCACCUGCUGCACGGUCCCCACGGGAAGCGCUCUGAUGGGAAGCUGUGAUGGGUGCUCCUAGGAAGGCCUCCCCCGUCACGGUGGGCCUGGGCCUAAGGAUGUGAGGCCUCUGCCAUGUGUCCCCAUAUGUAAGAGGGGUAAGUGACACCACUAGCCUUGUUCCUGCCCAGGGCCCUCAGCCUGCUUGUCCCCUGGUGACUGUGAGGGUAGAGGAGCCCACCUCAACCAAAUAUUUGGACAAACAAAAAGUCUGAAUAUUCAAAGAGCCACUUAACAUCUUAAAUUUGCCAUCAGUUGCCCACUGAGCAGCUAUUGCAGACUGGUGGCUUUCUGAGAUGCCAUGUGAUACAGUUUGGCUGUGUCCCCACCCAAACCUCAUCUUGAAUUGUAGUUCCCAUAAUCCCCACAUGUCAUGGGAGGGACCCAGUGGGAGGCAGUUGAAUCAUAGGGGCGGUUACCCCCAUGCUGCUGUUCUCGUGAGAGUGGGUGAAUUCUCAUGAGAUCUGAUGGUUUUAUAAUGGCUUUUGCCACUUUUGCUCAGCACAUCUCCUUCCUGCAAUCAUGCGAAGAAGGACGUUUCCUUCCCCUUCUGCCAUUGGUAUCGUGCAGCAGUUUUUGGUGUUACUGACGACCAGCUCUGACGAGAGUCUUCGGUUUCUUAGCUUCAGGCUGGACUUCAACGAGCAUUACAAAGCCAGGGAGCCCAGGCUCCGCGUGUCUCUGGGUACCAGGGGGCGGCGCAGCUCCCACACGUGAAGCUCGCGGUCCUCCCAGGGAGCUGCGGGUGAUGUUCGUUGCACUGCUAGACACGAAAUUCCCAUUGACGUCCUGCAGGAACUGCAUGCUGCAGGUGUCCUGCCCUUCCGCCCACGAGUGCGCCAUGUUUCAGCGGAGCGGCGUGUGGGAGAAGCCACGUCGUGUUGCACACGUCGGAGUUGAAUGCAUUUGUAAAUCACUAAGUCAAGUAGGCUGGCUGCACUGUUCACAUUUGUCUCUAAAAGUCUUCAUCCCCAAAAGAUACCAUAAUUUGCUGAGGCUUCUGAAUCUUAAGUGCUCUAAGUUAUAACUUAUAUUUGUCACUUUAAAAGAACUGUUUGUUUAGCAAAAUCUACAGCAAGGGUAUAUUUAUAAAGUGAUAAUGUCAUUGCUGUUAUUUAGCAUCCUCUUCAGAAACUUUUUUUUGCAAUAUUAUUAGAUUAAACUGAAAUACAUAGAAAAUAUAGAGAGCAUUUUAUUAUCUUGGUAUUCAAGGUUGUAAAGUGUGAAAAUUUUUGUAUCUUACAUAUAUCUAUUCUUUUCUCUCUCCUUUCAAGGUUUACACUUACAGAUUUAAUUUACUAUUCUAGAUAACUUCUAAAAUAGUACAGAACACGAGUAGGAGUGUUGUGGAACAAAAACAUCCUUAAACUUAAAUUUCUUGACGCCACCAGCUGAAGCAGUGUGGCAACAGGAAUGACUAGAAAGUUAACAAAGUAUUUUAUUUUUACAAUUUUGAUGAGCAUUAUAAAGAAAUCGAUUUGGAUAAUGAAGGUUUCUUUUUUCUUUGACUAAUUUUUCCUUGUAAAUAUUUAUAUACUAUUGACCAGAUGCUGGGGAGAACGGUGUCUGUAAAAAGUCACGUCAUAUCAGCUUGCCUUUAUUAUGCUGUAUAAGUGAAAACUUAGAAAACUGAAAGCAAUUAUCUUUCAAAGCAUUGGCUGUUUUUUGAAUAGUCUAUUAAGUGACAGUUCAUUUGCCAGGGGGGCGGGGAUUGACAGGAUUUGAUUUAAUGUAGUACAGCAUAUGAAUUAUUUAAUCAUAAUUAGAAACCAAGAAAUUAGAUUUUGUGUGACUUUCGGUGUAGAAGCAAACGCAAUGUCACCACUCAGGUCUCAGGAGCGGUGCUUUAGUUAUCUGAAUCUGCCUCUGACUCCUUUAGGUGUGGAUUCCCUUUAAAACUAAAGGGGCCAUCAAGAAUCCUGGCCAUGCAGAAAUGAUUCCAUGGCAAAGGCCAGAAAUUCUUAGGAUAAAAACUUAAUUUAAUUUUAGUUUUCAAGUUCAUAAAAUCAGAAAUUUGAAACAGAUUUCUCCACUGCAAGUUGUCCUAGAAAUUAUGGCGUAUUGUGUAUCUCCGAGAGAGGUUUACCAAGGUUAUUAACCAUGCAGCCAGCUUUUAUUUUAUUUUAUUCAGAGAGUUGUUCCAGGGAUUAAUCCUCGGUAGAAACCACCCUAGCAAAGGCCCACCUCGAUUUUAGGGAUUACGACUCCAUUGGAGUGUAGGAGUCACCAGGACUUAGGUCAGAUCUGUGGGCUAUGGAGGGCUUCCGGGAGGUGCGGCCCUGGGGGGUGCCUGCGGGUCUGGAGGGUGGGAGCUGGGAUGGGGUGAGGCCUCUGAGGAGCUGCGUGAGACCCACUCUCCGUCAUUGUGGGUGCACAAUCAGGCCCCUUAGGGAGCCAGGGCCCCAAAACCCAGCAUCAGCCAAGCAUGGAUGACUUGGGGGUUCCACACUGGGGUUGUGCGUAAAGGAGAGCUCCUCUCAGGGGUGGGUGCGCCCGGCCCGGGGGUGCCACGUCUUCACCCAGAAAACGAGGCCGAGUCUGCAGGGGCCCUGCUGCAUGGAUGGAGGUGUGGGUGGUUGGUAGGACCCCAGGC
This 4053-nucleotide long non-coding RNA is filed under the name Homo sapiens (human). Its description in RNAcentral is "HSALNT0206972". Lineage: Eukaryota; Metazoa; Chordata; Mammalia; Primates; Hominidae. The record is from RNAcentral.